GGGCCCGCACAAGCGGUGGAGCAUGUUGCUUAAUUCGAGGCAACGCGAAGAACCUUACCCAGGUUUGACAUCGGAGGCACCGGCCCGAAACGGCCGUUCCGGCAACGGACCUCCAGACAGAUGCUGCAUGGCUGUCGUCAGCUCGUGCCGUGAGGUGUUCGGUUAAGUCCGGCAACGAGCGCAACCCAUGCCGCCAGUUGCCACCGGGUGAUGCCGGGGACUCUGGCGGGACCGCCCGUGUCAAGCGGGAGGAAGGCGUGGACGACGUCAAGUCCGUAUGGCUCCUACGCCUGGGGCCGCAAACGUGCUACAAUGGCCGGUACAGAAGGACGCUUGGCCGCGAGGCCCGGCAAAUCCCCAAAGCCGGCCCCAGUUCGGAUUGCAGCCUGCAACUCGGCUGCAUGAAGCCGGAAUCGCUAGUAAAGGGGCAUCAGCCACGGCCCCUUGAAUACGUUCCCGGGCCUU
This 465-nucleotide ribosomal RNA is filed under the name uncultured bacterium. RNAcentral describes it as "bacterial SSU rRNA". It matches the Rfam family "Bacterial small subunit ribosomal RNA", at positions 917 to 1382 of the family's 1533-position model. The record is from RNAcentral.